This is a long non-coding RNA of Mesocricetus auratus (golden hamster), 379 nucleotides long. RefSeq lists it as uncharacterized. Lineage: Eukaryota; Metazoa; Chordata; Mammalia; Rodentia; Cricetidae. The record is from RefSeq and is a predicted model, not a curated record. The transcript is spliced from 2 exons.
GGUGUGGAAUGCUACAACACGGUCAGCAAGGCUUCACCGAGAAGGCACACGGAAGAUAUGUGCAAAAGGUGGAGUGGGGUGUUAUCCACCCAGAAGCCAGGGCCAUGUGACUGGGAGGGAUCUCACACACACAGUGGGAGCCAGCCUCUGGUUCACUUCUUUGCAAUCUGGAGAAAGAUACCUCAUCGCGCCUCUGGGUUCUCAUGUCACAUGGACAGAAGAGCGCACCUUUCCCCUAGGUCUUCGUGAACCCCGUGGGUGGUCCAUCAUGAAGCUCUAGGUAUACAGCAAUUGCUGAAAUCCUGCCAUCUGUGUUUGUCUUUGUAAAACAGUCUCAUAUAGCCCCCAAUUCACUUCGAUAGUCAAGAACGACCUUGAA